UGAGUAGGCGGUUGCAUAUGUCAGAUGUAAAAGGCACAGGCUUAACUUGUGUUAGCAUUUGAAACUGUGCGACUUGAGUGCAGGAGAGGUAAGUGGAAUUCCUAGUGUAGCGGUGAAAUGCGUAGAUAUUAGGAGGAACACCAGUGGCGAGGGCGACUUACUGGACUGUAACUGACGCUGAGUCACGAAAGCGUGGGUAGCAAACA
Molecule: ribosomal RNA, 206 nt
Filed under: uncultured Eubacteriales bacterium
Lineage: Bacteria; Bacillati; Bacillota; Clostridia; Eubacteriales
Description: uncultured Clostridiales bacterium partial 16S ribosomal RNA
Rfam family: Bacterial small subunit ribosomal RNA
Source: RNAcentral